GUCUGGCUGGCUCAGUCAGUAGACCAUGGGACUCUUGAUCUUGGGGUUGUGGGUUCAAGCCCCACGCUGGGUG
RNAcentral lists this transfer RNA (73 nucleotides) under Ailuropoda melanoleuca (giant panda). It matches the Rfam family "tRNA". Rfam says of the family: Transfer RNA (tRNA) molecules are approximately 80 nucleotides in length. Lineage: Eukaryota; Metazoa; Chordata; Mammalia; Carnivora; Ursidae. The record is from Rfam by way of RNAcentral. RNAcentral also lists the same sequence under 1 other name.